RNAcentral lists this ribosomal RNA (202 nucleotides) under uncultured bacterium. RNAcentral's name for it is "partial 16S ribosomal RNA". It matches the Rfam family "Bacterial small subunit ribosomal RNA", at positions 524 to 725 of the family's 1533-position model. The record is from RNAcentral.
UACGGGGGGGGGCAAGCGUUGUUCGGAAUUACUGGGCGUAAAGGGCUCGUAGGUGGCCAACUAAGUCAGACGUGAAAUCCCUCGGCUUAACCGGGGAACUGCGUCUGAUACUGGAUGGCUUGAGUUCGGGAGAGGGAUGCGGAAUUCCAGGUGUAGCGGUGAAAUGCGUAGAUAUCUGGAGGAACACCGGUGGCGAAGGCGC